Molecule: ribosomal RNA, 253 nt
Filed under: uncultured bacterium
Lineage: Bacteria
Description: partial 16S ribosomal RNA
Rfam family: Bacterial small subunit ribosomal RNA
Source: RNAcentral
UACGAAGGGGGCUAGCGUUGUUCGGAAUUACUGGGCGUAAAGCGCGCGCAGGCGGCUAUCCAAGUCAGUGGUGAAAGCCCGGAGCUCAACUCCGGAACUGCCAUUGAAACUGUUUAGCUUGAGGACGAGAGAGGUGAGUGGAAUUCCCAGUGUAGAGGUGAAAUUCGUAGAUAUUAGGAAGAACACCGGUGGCGAAGGCGGCCCACUGGAUCGGUACUGACGCUGAGGUGCGAAAGCGUGGGGAGCAAACAGG